GUAAAAAAGAAGCUUCACUUCGUUUGUUCCUGGAGGAGGAAGCAUAAGCUUUGAAGUCGUCUCCAACUCUCUGCUGGGACUCAGAGGAGGAAACAAUGUCGUUCAAAUCAGUAUUGGACUGAUAUGAAAUUAGAUUUCUUUAAACCCAUUGUAUCAGUUAUAUAGUUUUUCUAUGACCAAUUCUCAACUGAAUGAUUUUUUGUUAGCUGAUAUGAUUUUCUGUUUGUCUUAACUCUGACAGAAACAAAGAAAGAGAGAUGGAGAUGAUGAUUUGAUGGUGAAAGGAAGUUGGGUGUGCUUUCUGUCUUAUUUCAUAUUGAGGGUAGUCACCCUUCUUCAAUUGCAGUAAACCUUGAUGUAACCAUAUUGAUAUGAGAAAAUUUGGAAAACAUCACCCUUGUAUUUGACGACGGUGGAGUCUUUUUCAUAGGUCUAUUUGAAUCUGAACAAUGUACUCUCUUUUUUAGAUUCAGUGGGUAUAUUCCGGUGUCUGCAUUUGCUUUGGCAUUCUUCUUUUUGGAUGUCUCUGAAUGCAUGUAUUAGGUGGUGUUUUUGCGCUUCCAUCGUUUUUCAAGCAGAGCCAAGUAGCAUACCAUGCACAGCAAACACACACUUGCUAUACAGUGAGAAGCGGUAUGUACAGAAGCGAAAGAGCCUGAAGGAUUCAGCAAUCUGGUGACAAGAAGGAUGCGAGCGCAACUUGUAAGUUAUAGAACUGAGCAUUUGACCAGAACCUUUUAGAAUCCAGAAGAUUUGGAGUGGGAUUUCUUUGAGCUUUUGUGAUCCUAAUUUCUGGACAAUGUAAACUCUGGCUGAUCCAAAUGUACCCAAGAGCUUGCUGCAUGCAAUUUUGUCUGGGUCAACUGUAUUCUGGUGGGUGACACUGACUUAUAAUCAUAUGUUUCUCCAGCUA
This is a long non-coding RNA of Prunus dulcis (almond), 913 nucleotides long. RefSeq lists it as uncharacterized. The transcript has 2 exons. The record is from RefSeq and is a predicted model, not a curated record. Lineage: Eukaryota; Viridiplantae; Streptophyta; Magnoliopsida; Rosales; Rosaceae.